RNAcentral lists this long non-coding RNA (430 nucleotides) under Cricetulus griseus (Chinese hamster). RNAcentral describes it as "lncRNA (ENSCGRG00015038587.1)". Lineage: Eukaryota; Metazoa; Chordata; Mammalia; Rodentia; Cricetidae. The record is from RNAcentral.
AAUCAGCAGAUAGUUGCUCUAGGCCAGUGCCCAGGGACUUUCCAUGGUGGAGGAGCCCAACCAAGGCGCCACAGCUGUUCUGUCCACAGCCCUAUCUCCAGCUGUCUGGGUGCAGGGUCUGUUCAGAACUGAGCUCUGGAGCCUCUGGAGUCCACAGACCUAGUGGGCAGUGGAAGGAUUAUGACAUAAGGAUCAGAGUCACUGCUGACGAUGAAGCUGCCUGUCAGUUCAACUGGAGCUGGACUGUCCAGAGUCCAAUUAGUGCUGCCUGUUGGAAUGUUGACUGAUCUUCUUGGCUUCAUCUUGUGUAGUUCUGGUGUAGGUCCGGCCUCACCUGCUCCUUAACCUGAUGUCCCUACCAGUCUUGGGAGGUCUCUGCUCCUGAUUUGUGAGAAGGAUGGUACUGCUGUAAAUACCCCUGUAAUCUCUG